AAAUGUUCCUCACUUAAGGCUUACUGCUUUCGAACCACUGUUGAUAUUCCUUUUAAAUGAAAUCGAUUGCUUAAAAUUAAUGUGUUUAUAUGUUUAAGAAAAUGUCAUUUUGAUUAAAACUUUAAUUUUCAAAAUGAUCAUAAUAAAAUUUAAAACUAUUUGGCUAAAUUAAAUAAGAGUAGAAACAAUUGGAUAAAAGCUCAACUUUAU
This 210-nucleotide long non-coding RNA is filed under the name Lathyrus oleraceus (garden pea). RNAcentral's name for it is "Pisum sativum (pea) long non-coding RNA (PSAT_LNC021115)". Lineage: Eukaryota; Viridiplantae; Streptophyta; Magnoliopsida; Fabales; Fabaceae. The record is from RNAcentral.